AGCAUGCAAGGCCUGAGCCACAGCUUGAACAUGGAUCAUAGAAGAAAAAUUUGGAGAUCUCUGCUCCAUGACCAGAGCUUUGAUGCAAACAGCAGACAGAGCUGUUCAACAGUGGAAGAGACUCCCUCCGAAGGUGACCAUGUGUCAUGGAUGCUUCAGAAAUAAAUGACGCUCCCAAUUCAUCGGAUGAUGACC
Molecule: non-coding RNA, 195 nt
Organism: Podarcis muralis (Common wall lizard)
Lineage: Eukaryota; Metazoa; Chordata; Lepidosauria; Squamata; Lacertidae
Source: RefSeq, a predicted model, not a curated record